UACGAAGGGGACUAGCGUUGUUCGGAAUCACUGGGCGUAAAGCGCACGUAGGCGGAUUUGUAAGUCAGGGGUGAAAUCCCGGGGCUCAACCUCGGAACUGCCUUUGAUACUGCGAAUCUUGAGUCCGAUAGAGGUGGGUGGAAUUCCUAGUGUAGAGGUGAAAUUCGUAGAUAUUAGGAAGAACACCGGUGGCGAAGGCGGCCUUCUGGACAGUGACUGACGCUGAGACGGCGAAAGCGU
Molecule: ribosomal RNA, 240 nt
Filed under: uncultured bacterium
Lineage: Bacteria
Description: partial 16S ribosomal RNA
Rfam family: Bacterial small subunit ribosomal RNA
Source: RNAcentral